This 64-nucleotide small nucleolar RNA is filed under the name Procavia capensis (Cape rock hyrax). RNAcentral's name for it is "Small nucleolar RNA SNORD44 (ENSPCAG00000020490.1)". It matches the Rfam family "Small nucleolar RNA SNORD44". From Rfam's summary of the family: U44 belongs to the C/D class of snoRNA which contain the C (UGAUGA) and D (CUGA) box motifs. The record is from RNAcentral. Lineage: Eukaryota; Metazoa; Chordata; Mammalia; Hyracoidea; Procaviidae.
CCUGUAUGAUGAUAACCGAAUACUGACUAAACAUGAAGUUUCUAAUUAUUAGCUCUAGCUGAUU